This 1323-nucleotide long non-coding RNA is filed under the name Anas platyrhynchos platyrhynchos (common mallard). Its description in RNAcentral is "lncRNA (ENSAPLG00000026180.1)". Lineage: Eukaryota; Metazoa; Chordata; Aves; Anseriformes; Anatidae. The record is from RNAcentral.
AGACAAACAGGAGGCAGGAACAUCCCAAGGGCCCGGUAUGAAACGCGAACGGGUUCAAACGGGGCUGGAAGGGGAGCAAAGCCCCGAGAAAGGCCGAAGGCAGGCGCAAGUUCGGCUUCUGCCAAAGGCAGGGGGGAAGAUUUGGGGCAGGAGAGGGGAGAGGAGGGCAGCAAUUGUGGCAUCCAGAGGCUGAGGGCCCGGGCCCCCGAGACUGACCUGUGCCGUCGCUGGCGGACACGGAGAGCGCCGAGAGACGCAGGGGGGGAGCCCCGAGACCUUCAGCUUCUCCUCGGGCCCCCGGCUGAAGCCGCAGCACAACAAUGCCGACGAGAAGGGAGCGGGGAGGAUCCGGCUGGGGGGGGGCCAAGUUCCCCUUUUUCUGCCCCUCGGGCUCCGGGAGGGCGGCAGCGGAGAAGCGGGGCGAGGGUGGGAGCAAGAGGCCUCUGCCCCCCCAAGGCGAGAGGGCUGAGCCGAGAUGGGAAGAGCCCCCGCCGAAAAAAAAAAAAAAUAAAAAUAAAAAAUAAAAUUAAAAAAAAAAAAUUGAGGCUGGUGGUUCGAUUUUUUUUUUUUCUUCUUCUUCUUCUUCUCCUUCUUCCCUCGGUGAAAUUAAUCCCGGCUGUUGUGCUGCUGGUGCUUCCUCGCCGCCGCCACCAUCAUCAUCUUCAUCCUCCGGGGGGUCUCCUCCUCCUGCUGCCUCCUCACCGCCGCCAUCAGCCUCUUCCUCCUCGGCGCCGUCCUCCUCCUCCUCAUCGCCACAAGGAGGCGGGCGAAGGAGGGGAGAGGAGGAGGAAAAAAGAAAAAAAGCAGCUCACCGUCCUCUAGCAGCGGCUCCUUCCCCCUCCGACACCACCCUGCUGAAAAAUACCCGGGGGGGAGGCGGCGGGGCGAGAGGCCGAGCGGGCGCGGGGUCCCCAGCUCCACUCGCUCCUUCCCUCGCCCGUCGCUAAAUGGCUGCAGAAAGGGGAGCCGUAAGGAUGAGGAGGCUGAGGAUAAGUCCCAGGAGUCUCCGCUUCACAUCUUGUUGUGCAGGGAAGGAGGAGGAGGAGGAGGAGGGGUUGUUGUCCUGCUGGAGGCAGCGCCGAUCGCGGGCUGGGAAGGUGGGGGGCGGGCUCCGACACCCCUCGCUGCCCCCCCCCCCCCCUCCUCCACCACCUCCCCGCUCCGCUCCUUUCCCCCUUCCUCUUUUCUCUCAGGAGCGGGCUGCCCCCCCCUCGGGCGCAGGAGGCGCAGGGGCCGAGCCCACGGCAGGAGGAGGAGGAGGAGGAGGAAGGCGCCGGCCCCUCCCCCCCUCGCUGCCUACCUUCCCCCCUCCCGGGAUGGUGG